AUUGAACGCUGGCGGCAGGCCUAACACAUGCAAGUCGAGCGAGCGGCGGGCGGGUGAGUAAUGCCUGGGAAUUGCCCAGACGGGGGGGAUAACAGGUGGACACGACUGCUAAUACAGCAUACGUUUGGAUUGAUCAGGGGGGAUUAGUGAGUUGGUGUGGUAAUGGCUCACCAAGGCGACGCUCCCUAGCAGGUCUGAGAGGAUGAUCUGCCACACUGGAUCUGAGACACGGUCCAGACUCCUACGGGAGGCAGCAGUGGUGAAUAUUGCACAAUGGGGGAAACCCUGAUGCAGCCAUGCCGCGUGUGUGAAGAAGGCCUUCGGGUUGUAAAGCACUUUCAGCGAGGAGGCGUUACUCGCAGAAGAAGCACCGGCUAACUCCGUGCCAGCAGCCGCGGUAAUAC
RNAcentral lists this ribosomal RNA (404 nucleotides) under uncultured bacterium. RNAcentral's name for it is "partial 16S ribosomal RNA". It matches the Rfam family "Bacterial small subunit ribosomal RNA", at positions 30 to 526 of the family's 1533-position model. The record is from RNAcentral.